Long non-coding RNA from Oncorhynchus keta (chum salmon), 1737 nucleotides. RefSeq lists it as uncharacterized. The record is from RefSeq and is a predicted model, not a curated record. The transcript has 2 exons. NCBI's taxonomy places the organism in Eukaryota, Metazoa, Chordata, Actinopteri, Salmoniformes, Salmonidae.
UUUUUGAAAUUCUUUCAAUUUUUUUGUCAAUUACACAUGUGUAAGAACUGUAUGAAUAUACUUUUGUCCAAUUUUAUUAUCAUAUUUUUUUAUAUAUUUUUUUAAAUUGUGCAUAAGGAUUUUUUUGUGGGCCAAAUGACGUAAGAAAUUUGACAUGCUCAAAAAUCCUGCAGAAAUGCAAAAUUGACUGGCCUGAUGAACUCGGGAUGGCCGGGCAGUGAUAGUUGUUCCUUUCCAUCACUCGUUGUGUUGACUUCAUCAUGUCCAUUUUGUGAUGUUUUUUUCACUAUAUAAUCAUAUUGCAAGUGCACGUGCAUUUGCAAUAUGUUUCAAUGUGCAUUUACCAUAUGAAAUUUGACCUUGCUCAAAAAUGCAAAAUUGACUGGUCUGAUGAACACAGGAUGGCCGAGCAGUGAUAGUUGUACAUUUCCAUCACUCGUUGUGUUGAUUUCAUCAUCUCCGUUAGGUGAUGUUGUUUCACUAUAGAAUCAUAUUGUAAGUGCACGUGCAUUUGCAAUAUGUUUCAAUGUGCAUUUACCAUAUGAAAUUUGACCUUGCUCAAAAAUGCAAAAUUGACUGGUCUGAUGAACACAGGAUGGCCGAGCAGUGAGAGUUGUACCUUUCCAUCACUCGUUGUGUUGAUUUCAUCAUGUCCAUUUGUUUAUGUUUUCUCACUUUUGCAAAGUCACUGUGCAUUUGCAAUAUGGUUCAAUGGGCAGGUACCAUCACGAAUUUGUCAUGCUAUAAAAAUCCUGCAGGAAUGUGAAAUUGACUGGCCUGAUGAACACAGGAUGGCCUGGCAGUGAUAGUUGUUCCUUUCCAUCACUCGUUGUGUUGAUUUCAUCAUGUCCAUUAGGUGAUGUUUUUUCACUAUAGAAUCAUAUUGCAAAUGCACGUGCAUUGUUGUGCAACUGGUAACCCAAAAAUAAAAAUAUGGUUGUAAAUGCAUUUACCGGUCAUUCUGAUAUUAAUGCUCGCUAUGGGAACACAGGAUGGCCGGGCAGUGAUAGUUGUACAUUUCCAUCACUCGUUGUGUUGAUUUCAUCAUGUCCAUUAGGUGAUGUUUUUACACUAUAGAAUCAUAUUGCAAGUGCGCGCGCAUUUGCAAUAUGUUUCAAUGUGCAUUUACCAUAUGAAAUUUGACAUGCUCAAAAAUGCAAAAUUGACUGGUCUGAUGGACACAGGAUGGCCGAGCAGUGAUAGUUGUACAUUUCCAUCACUCGUUGUGUUGAUUUCAUCAUGUCCAUUAGGUGAUGUUUUUUCACUAUAGAAUCAUAUUGCAAAUGCACGUGCAUUGUUGUGCAACUGGUAACCCAAAAAUAAAAAUAUGGUUGUAAAUGCAUUUACCGGUCAUUCUGAUAUUAAUGCUCGCUAUGGGAACACAGGAUGGCCGGGCAGUGAUAGUUGUACAUUUCCAUCACUCGUUGUGUUGAUUUCAUCAUGUCCAUUAGGUGAUGUUUUUACACUAUAGAAUCAUAUUGCAAGUGCGCGCGCAUUUGCAAUAUGUUUCAAUGUGCAUUUACCAUAUGAAAUUUGACAUGCUCAAAAAUGCAAAAUUGACUGGUCUGAUGGACACAGGAUGGCCGAGCAGUGAUAGUUGUACAUUUCCAUCACUCGUUGUGUUGAUUUCAUCAUGUCCAUUAGGUGAUGUUUUUUCACUAUAGAAUCAUAUUGCAAAUGCACGUGCAUUGUUGUGCAACUGGUAACCCAAAAAUAAAAAUAUGCUUGUAAAUGCAU